Molecule: ribosomal RNA, 492 nt
Filed under: Dialister invisus
Lineage: Bacteria; Bacillati; Bacillota; Negativicutes; Veillonellales; Veillonellaceae
Description: bacterial SSU rRNA
Rfam family: Bacterial small subunit ribosomal RNA
Source: RNAcentral
GACGAACGCGGCGGCGUGCUUAACACAUGCAAGUCGAACGAAAAGACGGAAAGAGCUUGCUCUUUUCAGAAUUGAGUGGCAAACGGGUGAGUAACACGUAAACAACCUGCCUUCAGGAUGGGGACAACAGACGGAAACGACUGCUAAUACCGAAUAAGUUCCAAGAGCCGCAUGGCCCAUGGAAGAAAAGGUGGCCUCUACCUGUAAGCUAUCGCCUGAAGAGGGGUUUGCGUCUGAUUAGCUGGUUGGAGGGGUAACGGCCCACCAAGGCGACGAUCAGUAGCCGGUCUGAGAGGAUGAACGGCCACACUGGAACUGAGACACGGUCCAGACUCCUACGGGAGGCAGCAGUGGGGAAUCUUCCGCAAUGGGCGAAAGCCUGACGGAGCAACGCCGCGUGAGUGAUGACGGCCUUCGGGUUGUAAAACUCUGUGAUCCGGGACGAAAAGGCAGAGUGCGAAGAACAAACUGCAUUGACGGUACCGGAAAAGC